GGCUCAGUGGGAGAAAGGAGAGGCCUCAGAUUUUGACGCUGAAGACCAGGGUUCGAUUCCCAGCUCAGCCA
Molecule: non-coding RNA, 71 nt
Organism: Phrynosoma platyrhinos (Desert horned lizard)
Lineage: Eukaryota; Metazoa; Chordata; Lepidosauria; Squamata; Phrynosomatidae
Source: the annotation of a GenBank genome assembly